Molecule: unclassified non-coding RNA, 206 nt
Filed under: Hevea brasiliensis (rubber tree)
Lineage: Eukaryota; Viridiplantae; Streptophyta; Magnoliopsida; Malpighiales; Euphorbiaceae
Source: RNAcentral
GCCAUGGAUGCUGGUGAAGUUCAUGGAGGCAGCUCGGAUUACGCUAAUGUGAAAACCAACAACAACCCCGUUAAUGGCUCUGAGCCUUCGACUUCCCAUUUGUCGGAGACCCAUCAAGACCAAAACCUAGAAGACCCUGACGACGAUGGCGAAGGGGAUGAAGAAGAUGAACAGGAUGGAGAUGAGAUAGCUUUUGCUGCUCAGAG